This 498-nucleotide ribosomal RNA is filed under the name uncultured bacterium. RNAcentral describes it as "partial 16S ribosomal RNA". It matches the Rfam family "Bacterial small subunit ribosomal RNA", at positions 30 to 523 of the family's 1533-position model. The record is from RNAcentral.
AUUGAACGCUGGCGGCAUGCCUUACACAUGCAAGUCGAACGGUAAGAGGUCUUCGGAUGCUGACGAGUGGCGAACGGGUGAGUAAUACAUCGGAACGUGCCUAGUAGUGGGGGAUAACUACUCGAAAGAGUGGCUAAUACCGCAUGAGAUCUACGGAUGAAAGCAGGGGAUCGCAAGACCUUGUGCUACUAGAGCGGCCGGUGGCAGAUUAGGUAGUUGGUGGGAUAAAAGCUUACCAAGCCGACGAUCUGUAGCUGGUCUGAGAGGACGAUCAGCCACACUGGGACUGAGACACGGCCCAGACUCCUACGGGAGGCAGCAGUGGGGAAUGUUGGACAAUGGGCGAAAGCCUGAUCCAGCAAUGCCGCGUGCAGGAUGAAGGCCUUCGGGUUGUAAACUGCUUUUGUACGGAACGAAAAGCCCCGGGUUAAUACCCUGGGGUCAUGACGGUACCGUAAGAAUAAGCACCGGCUAACCACGUGCCAGCAGCCGCCGCGG